ACUGCCGGUGACAAACCGGAGGAAGGUGGGGAUGACGUCAAGUCCUCAUGGCCCUUAUGGGUAGGGCUUCACACGUCAUACAAUGGUCGGUACAGAGGGUUGCCAACCCGCGAGGGGGAGCUAAAUCCCACAAAGCCGAUCGUAGUCCGGAUCGCAGUCUGCAACUCGACUGCGUGAAGUCGGAAUCGCUAGUAAUCGUGGAUCAGCAUGUCACGGUGAAUACGUUCCCGGGUCUU
This 236-nucleotide ribosomal RNA is filed under the name uncultured Rhodocyclaceae bacterium. RNAcentral's name for it is "partial 16S ribosomal RNA". It matches the Rfam family "Bacterial small subunit ribosomal RNA", at positions 1148 to 1382 of the family's 1533-position model. Lineage: Bacteria; Pseudomonadati; Pseudomonadota; Betaproteobacteria; Rhodocyclales; Rhodocyclaceae. The record is from RNAcentral.